Molecule: microRNA precursor, 82 nt
Filed under: Bombyx mori (domestic silkworm)
Lineage: Eukaryota; Metazoa; Arthropoda; Insecta; Lepidoptera; Bombycidae
Description: mir-2807 microRNA precursor family
Rfam family: mir-2807 microRNA precursor family
Source: Rfam by way of RNAcentral
UUAACACAGAUUUGUAUGGAGUUGGCAAGUUUGCCUACGUUUGCCGCUAGGGGCGCUGUUCCAACUGCAUAAAAAUGUGUUA